Molecule: long non-coding RNA, 5917 nt
Filed under: Cicer arietinum (chickpea)
Lineage: Eukaryota; Viridiplantae; Streptophyta; Magnoliopsida; Fabales; Fabaceae
Description: long non-coding RNA (CARI_LNC000783)
Source: RNAcentral
AACGUUUGUGUAGCAUGCAUUAAAGGAAAACAGACUAAAGAUAAGAAAUUAGGCGCAUAUAGAGCUACAGACGUCUUAGAAUUGAUACAUACGGACAUCUGUGGGCCAUUUCCAACUCCUUCUUGGAAUGGUCAACAAUAUUUUAUAUCAUUCAUAGACGAUUAUUCUAGAUAUGCCUACCUUUACCUAAUUCACGAAAAGUCCCAAUCAAUAGACGUGUUCAAAUCCUUUAAGGCAGAAGUUGAGAAUCAACUUAAUAAAAGAAUUAAAAAGGUCAAAUCUGAUCGUGGUGGUGAAUACUACGGCAGAUAUGACGGUUCAGGUGAACAACGUCCGGGACCAUUUGCCAAAUACCUAGAGGAAUGUGGAAUCGUCCCACAAUACACUAUGCCGGGGUCACCCAGCAUGAAUGGUGUAGCUGAAAGACGAAACAGGACUCUUAAGGAUAUGGUAAGGAGUAUGAUUUGUCAUUCCACCUUGCCAGAGUCACUCUGGGGAGAGGCAUUAAAAACAGCAGCAUACAUUCUUAAUAGAGUACCAACUAAGGCAGCGGCUAAAACACCUUAUGAGCUUUGGAUUGGGCGUAAGCCUAGUCUGAAGCACCUUCAUGUUUGGGGAUGUCCAGCUGAGGCAAGGCCUUAUAGGCCGAAUGAAAAGAAAUUUGAACCCCGAACAAUUAGCAGCUAUUUUAUAGGGUACUCAGAAAAAUCAAGGGGCUAUAAAUUUUAUGAUCCUAAUUUGAGAACAAUUUUUGAGACGGGAACGGCAACGUUCUUUGAGGAUAUUGAGUUUGGGGGGAAGAUUAAGGUUAAAGAUUUUGUCUUUGAGGAAGAAUCGGUAACAAUUCCAGAACUGAUUCUUCCACCAAUUGACUUUCCCAUUAUUGAACAAACUCAAGAUGAUCUGGUUGUUCAGGAAGAACAAAAUCCAGAUCAAAUUCAAGAUCCUCAAGAACAAGUGCCUCAAGAGCCAGCUCCAUUGCGGAGAUCCACUAGAGAAAGGAAAAAUGCUAUUUCGGAUGAUUAUGUAGUAUUUAUCAAUGAGGUAGAGGAAAAUGUUGGCAUGACGGAAGACGACCCAGUCAACUUUCAUCAAGCCAUGCAAGAUUCUCGUUCAGAUAAGUGGAUCGAAGCAAUGAAUGAGGAGUACAAGUCUAUGCAAGACAAUUCAGUUUGGGAACUUAUCCCAUUACCUGAAGGAAAGAAACCCAUUGGUUGCAAAUGGAUUUUUAAAACCAAGCGGGAUUCCAAUGGUAAUGUGGAGAGAUAUAAGGCACGUCUUGUAGCUAAGGGUUAUACUCAAAAGGAAGGGAUUGAUUAUAAAGAGACUUUCUCUCCGGUUUCAUCGAAGGACUCUUUAAGAAUAAUCAUGGCUCUUGUUGCUCACUUUAAUUUGGAGCUUCAUCAAAUGGAUGUAAAAACAGCUUUUCUCAAUGGCGACAUUGAUGAGACGAUCUAUAUGGUGCAGCCAGAAAACUUUGUGUUGGGAGACCCAAAGAAUAUGGUGUGCAAACUAAGAAAAUCCAUUUAUGGGCUAAAACAAGCUUCUCGUCAAUGGUACCAUAAAUUUCAUCAAGUAAUUCUCUCAUUUGGUUUUGAGAUGAAUACAGUUGAUGAUUGUGUGUAUCAUAAGUUCAGUGGGAGCAGACAUAUUUUCCUGGUCUUGUAUGUUGAUGACAUACUGCUUGCCACUAACGAUAUAGGCAUGUUGCACGAAACUAAGAAAUUUCUAUCAAAGCAUUUUGAGAUGAAAGAUCUUGGUGACGCCUCUUUUGUAUUAGGAAUUCAGAUACACCGAGACAGAUCUCGAGGUAUUCUUGGAUUGUCACAAAAGAGCUAUAUCGAUAAGGUUCUCAAAAGGUUUGGGUUACAGGAUUGCAAACCAGGGGACACCCCAGUUGCUAAGGGAGACAAGUUUAGUCUCAAACAGUGCCCUAAGGGAAGUUUGGAAAUUCAAGAAAUGCAAAAGAUCCCUUAUGCUUCAGCUGUAGGGAGUCUUAUGUAUGCCCAAGUAUGUACGCGUCCAGACAUAGCGUUCAUAGUAGGGAUUUUAGGCAGAUAUUUAAGCAAUCCAGGUCUUGACCAUUGGAAAGCAGCCAAGAGGGUCAUGAGAUAUUUGAAGAGAACAAGAAACUACAUGCUCACAUAUAGGAGGUCAGACCAGUUAGAGAUCACUGGGUACUCUGACUCGGAUUUUGCGGGAUGCCAAGACAGCUUAAGAUCAACUUCAGGCUAUGUCUUUCUGUUAGCUGGUGGAGCAGUUUCUUGGCGUAGUGCCAAGCAAGGUCUUACUGCUUCAUCAACCAUGGCAGCAGAAUUCGUAGCAAUUCAUGAGGCAUCUGACCAGGGCAUUUGGCUGAGAAAUUUUGUCACGGGGCUGCAAAUAGUUGAAGGGAUUGAAAGACCACUCAAGUUGUAUUGUGACAAUAGAUCAGCAGUCCUGUAUUCUAACAAUAAUAGGAGCUCAACCAAGUCAAAGCACAUUGACAUUAAGUUCCUAGUUGUUAAAGAGAAGGUACAAAGUGGACAGAUAUCCAUAGAACACUUAAGGACAAACUCCAUGAUUGCGGAUCCACUCACUAAAGGUCUACCACCCAAGGUCUUUCAUGAGCAUACUGCUCACAUGGGUGUGCUACAGUUUGAGGAAUCUUGAUUUUAGUGGGAGUUUCGUCCAUUAUGUAAUUCAUGUUCUAUGUUUAAUUGUAAAGUACAAAUACAUUGUAUUUGGACUUUCUGAUCAGAAAUAAAGUUUAAAGUAUUCAGUUUUUGGUUACUUUGUACAUUUAAGUUAUGGUAUGAUCUCAUUCGAUAAAGUAGGACCAGUUGAAAAUUGACAUGCAUUGACCAACUUCAUGUAAUUUUCAUGCUACACUUUUCAUAAUGGGUCUAUGUCAUUUAGUUGUGUCAGUACGGGUGAUCAUUGAUGGGUUUAGUUAUGCUUAUUAUGACGAAAGCCUCUUUGGUUCCAUGUGCUGAUAUGAUUAAUGGACGGGACAAUUUGGAUUAUACUCAAGGUAAUUAUAAUGACAUUUUUGACGUCAUAAAGUCUAACACACUCCUAAGGAUACAUGUGUGACCAGUGGGAGAUUGUAAGAUUUAUGGGUCACAUACGUAAUUAAUUAAUAAAGUGUGUUAGGGUCAUUAUAUAAUUAGCCAAUAAACUAGGGGUCAAAUAAAAUAUAAUAGUUUAUGGCUAAAGAGCAUAAUGGUUAUGAAAAUUAAUAGUGUAGAUACCAGGCAGUUUCUAAUUUAAUGAGGGGCUGAAUUGGAAAUACUGCAAUUUGGGAUAUAACUAAUAAUAGUUAUAUAUAGGGGUAAUGGUCCCUAAGGCAAACACAACAAGACUAUUCAGUUUCAAAACCCUAAAGGAGAAAACUCUCUGGUUCUCUCAAUCCCCAUCAAGAGAGCAAGGUCUUCAGGGUGUUUUGCUGAGGAAGAUCACCCAACCCAUUGGCUCUAUCAUCAUCAUCCCAGGAUUUCAUCAAUGGCAAUUCCCACAGGUACGCUUCCGCCUUUGGUCAUUCAUCAUGUAAUUGACAUGGAUUAUUAACACGACCUCGUCCUACAAAGCUUUUAGUUUUCCAUGACUUGUCUCUUUCAUUCUUAGAAAUCUUCGUACUAUUAUUUCUUUCUUUAGUGACAUAUUUCGUGUUGUGUAUGUCACGUCACGAAGUUAAACCAAAUAUUUUAAUGACUCGUCGAUCCAACAAUGUAGUUCUCUAGACCCGCGUAAACAAAAGGUGUGCCGCUUGAGAACAGAUGAGCCAAUUACACUAGUAAGCCUUUAUCAGAUGAUAUAAUUAAAGGAUCUCAUAAUUUUAUUUGAAAUGAUUUGCCUGUCCAUAAUUUUAACGAUAUUCUUCAUCUGAAUAUGCUUAUAAGUGUCAUAAUUUUAACGAUAUUCUUCAUCUGAAUAUGCUUAUAAGUGUUUUGAUCCUCAAAUACAUAAGAUAUACACAUCAUAUUAUGUGGUAUUUUCUGAUGAUCAAUUCCCUUAUCUUACCUUCACCUUACACUCAAACAACACCUCAAAUAUCCACCAGCUAAUCAUAUCAACAAUAUCAUUGACACCAAAUGACUUUGUAGGAUUAAUUUUAUGCAAUAUCUCUAUCUCUAUAGGUUACUUUUAUUCAAUGAAAUGUCAUUCUUUGCCACAACUAAGCUGCACUAAAUUUAUAAAAUUGAUAAUGCUUAAAAGAUAACAAUGUGAAAUUGUGCCUAUAGAUUUGGAGGCCUAGUAUCAACAUUUUGAUUUCAAGGGUAAAAUUUUUUAUUGCAGAAUGAGGAGCAAGAGAAAAUUGAUAGUUCUAUUUCUCAAUACAAGUUUAGAAAGGUAAAAGAAAAAUGAAGCAAGAAGUGUACAAAAUUACAAUGGCACAUGAUACAUAACAUAUAUAUUAUAUAUAUAACAAAUUAACAAACUUAAUUUUGGCUCUCACUUCCAAUUAUUGGCAACAAUGUCAGCCAAAUCAACAACCCUUUGUGAGUAACCCCAUUCAUUAUCAUACCAAGCAAUCACCUUAACCAGAUCAUCUCCCAUGACCAUAGUCAACGAUGAGUCAACGGUUGAGGACACAUCAGUGCACCUAAAAUCUACAGACACAAGUGGCUCAUCACAAACUGAGAGAAUACCAUUUAGCUCAUUGGCUGCACUCUCUCUAAAUGCCUCAUUCACUUCCUCAGCAAAGGUCUUUUUUGUGACUUGAACGACGAGGUCCACCACCGAAACGUUAGGUGUUGGCACACGAAGUGCAAUACCAUUGAGCUUGCCUUUGAGUGUUGGGAGGACAAGGGCUACUGCCUUUGCUGCUCCGGUUGAAGUUGGGACUAUGUUGAGUGCUGCUGCCCUCGCACGCCUUAGGUCGCGGUGGCUAGCGUCAAGUAGCCUUUGGUCCCCGGUGUAGGAGUGAGUGGUAGUCAUGGUACCCUUGAUGAUACCUAUCACCGAAUAUGUUAGAAAUGUACGAAUACUAUAAACAGCUUAAUUAAACGUUUAUUUGAAAAACUGAACAUAUCAUAAGUUAUUUUUAUAAAAAUAACUUUUUGUGAUUGGUUAGAAGGUACAUUACCAAAUUUCUGAUCAAGGACCUUGACAAAGGGAGCAAGGCAGUUAGUGGUGCAAGAAGCAUUGCUGAUGAUGGCUUCAUCAUGAGUGUAAGCAUCAGCAUUGACACCAACCACAUAAGUUGGGAUAUCUCCUUUUCCAGGUGCUGUGAUGAGCACUUUCUUAGCUCCUGCUUCAAUGUGCUUCCCUGCACCUUCUCUGUCCACAAACACUCCAGUUCCUUCAAUCACCAAGUCUAUCCCCAACUCCCUGCAAUACCAACAUCAUUUCAUGCGUCAUAUCAUAUAUUUCUUUUAUCUCUACAUAUACUUUAACAAAUUAGAAUAUAUUUGGUUUGAGAAAAUCAUUUCCAUCUUUUUUGAACUGAGAUAUCUUUUUACACACCACAAUCUCAUGUGAUAACUGUGAUUCUUUUAAAGGAAUAUGCAACUACAGAGAUUAAUCUCAUGAGUUAUAAUUGUGAGCCGUUUAAGUGGUUGAUAUCUCUUAAUAGAUAUUUUUCCAUACGUACUUGCAAGAGAUCGAAUCUCUAACCACAUACUUACGAGACUCAAGUAUCAAUUGUUAAAUGAACUUGAGUCUCACUUCCAAAAACUUUGAGACGAGGGUGCCAAAGUACAUAUAUACAAUGCACAACCAAAAACCUUAGCAAUGUCGGACUCAAACACAACUUCAAUACCAUGUUAAAUGAGUUGGGAUCUUCAUGAAGAUCCAAACUCAUUUAACAUCUACUAAGUUAUUCAUACCAUGUUGAUAAACAAUUUCUAUUUCUAAGUAAAGUAAAAACUUUUGUGAAACCAAACAGAGGACAAGAGUUGCUUUGCAAUCAAAUGAAUGAAUGAGAGGGAGAAGC